Molecule: long non-coding RNA, 567 nt
Filed under: Heterocephalus glaber (naked mole-rat)
Lineage: Eukaryota; Metazoa; Chordata; Mammalia; Rodentia; Bathyergidae
Description: lncRNA (ENSHGLG00000040195.1)
Source: RNAcentral
CCAGAUCCCAAAGCCCCUUUUCCCUUCUCCUGGUGGCCACUGGGUGUCUGUCCCCGGCCACGCUCUCUCUCUGCAGAGUGUACUUUUUUACCUUCAUUCUCAUAGUGGUCAUGAGCUAGACAGUUAAACCCAGCACAGUAUCUGCCACUAACCUGGCCAUGGAACGGACCACUUUAGGCUCUGCCAGGUACAAGAAAACUUCCAGCCACUGUGCAGGUUCCCUGCGUGCAAGCUAGAGGCCCCGUGACGCCCCGUGACUCACCAUGGGAAACACCUGUAGAUCCCAGCAACCUCAUCUUUAGGUUUAAAAAUGGAAACGGUUUGACCUCGGUGAUCUGAGAAAAAACAGCUUACCUUCUACUGCACCACUGUUUGGCUCCUCUAUUGACUAGGAAGUGGACGGAUGGGUACAGGAUGGCAGUCUGAACUACAGUGCUCUUUUGCAUUGGAUCUUUCCUGCAAAAGGCAAGGAAAGUGGACGGAAGUCCCUCUGUCCAGGCUUUCACUGCUCUUUAUCCGAAACCAUUCCUCUGCAAAGGCCCAGGAGAUGCGGUGCUUCGAGAGACC